This is a small nucleolar RNA of Rattus norvegicus (Norway rat), 120 nucleotides long. Ensembl annotates it as small nucleolar RNA SNORA17. The record is from Ensembl. Lineage: Eukaryota; Metazoa; Chordata; Mammalia; Rodentia; Muridae.
CCUGCCCCUAGAGGCAUUGCUGCUGUGUCAUGUGUGUGUCAAUAGGUAGCAGAGGAGAGAGGCUAUGUCUCAUUCAUUGUUCUGACCUAUAAACAUCUGAAUGACUAGUAGCCUAACAUU